UCAAACCUUGGAGGGACUUAUUCCUGGUCAGGAGAACCAUAUACUGCAGCAUGGGUCGCAAAGAAAGCGGGUCUCACAUCAACAUCUCAUAGAAAUACAAUCAGGAGCAUCGACUGGCUUGAUUCUUGCCUGCAGGUUAAGUAUCAAAACACUCUUUCAUUUGGCAAACAUAGAAAUAACAACUUCAUGGUAAGCAACAUAAUAAUAAUGAUGGCCAUAUGUGAUGCAGGAUACAGAAAUAAUCACAUGGAGCAGUAGAUCCGCACGAGCAAUUAUUAAAAUAGGAAUACCGUUUAUCAGCGCUUUAGCCAAAGGAAUGCAGAGCAAGAUCAAGGGAAUCUCACAUGAUUGCCUUGUAUGCACUGCAUGGCUUGGAAGUGAGCUGGCUGCCCUUGGUGAAAAUGCCAUCAGAUAUUCUGCUUGUGAGAUUUUGUUACAUGACAUAGCAAGUCACCUGCAUCCAGGGUUUGAUCUUGACGAAAGGGUUCUAGCAUGCAUGUGUCUAUACAAUUACACCUCUGGAAAAGGUAAAUAGUACAUCAUUACUAUCUUAUAUCCAGUAAACUUUCAAGAGCUAUUUUGCACAUCCUAAAGAGUAAAGACUCUUGGAAUGUAAACAUCCGAGCCAAAGUUGAAGGAAUGAUUGAAACGCUAUAUUUAUGCAAAGUUAUCAUUUUCUAACAACAGGAAAGCAAAUGUUGAUGAGCUUGUCAGAAGGGUCCCGAGAAUCUCUUAGGAGGCUUUCAUCAUUCACAUGGAUGGCUGAGGAAUUACUUCAAGUUACAGAUUAUUUUCUUUCCAGCAAACCAGUGAGUAUUGUUGGAACUUUUCUCCUUAUCUUCCCGCCUUUGUUUCAUACUACCCCUGUUCCAAGCAGGCCUUCAAGUAGAUCUUCUUCUAUUAGGAGCUAAUAUCAUAUCUGUUCAACAUGGAUCUCAGAAAUUCUUUAGGCUUGCCAUUGUUAACUUCAAAAUCUAUGCUGAGAUCAUUUUUACAACAUUGCUAGCUAGCCCGUCAUGUAACAUGUUUCUUAAACACAAGAUUUAAUUUUCUGAUCUUGUCAGUGCAGCGUGUAUCAUGUGUACAUACACAAAUCCUGGAAAUUGGUCAGCCUAGCAAUGGUGCAGCAACUGCUAUAGCAGUCUUCAGAGGACAGCUUUUUGCUGGUUAUUCUAAUGGCACCAUCAGGGUAAUGAUUUAUUCCAUAUGUCAGAAUUCAGAUCAUAACCAUAGUUUCAAAUUACCAUAAAUCUACGAAAUUAGCACAUAAUUUGUUGCGUUACAGAAGUUACUUGGAAAGGGACUUUUCAAAAAUGAUAGAAACUCUGUACUAUCACACACCAAGUUCACUGCUUCAGUUCAUGCAGUAGUAUUUACAUAACUAAAAUUUCCCAAUACUUGGGUGUUAUGUGCAGGCAUGGGACAUAAAAGGCCAAAGGGCAGUAAUUAUCAGGGAGGUAAAAGAGCACAAGAAGGCAGUGACUUGUUUUACACUAUCGGAAACUGGGGAGAACCUUCUGAGUGGAUCAGCAGACAAAUCCAUUCGGGUAACCAAAACAACCAGAUUGCUAAAACUGCAAAAGGAUAUCUAUUGCUGGAUGUUAAAUUACAAGGUCAUUUGCAGGUAUGGGAAAUGGCACAGCGCAAGCUUGAGUGUGUCGAGGUGAUUCAGACAAGAGAGGCUGUACAAAAGCUUGAUAUUUGUGGUGACAAAAUCCUUGUACUGACGCAGAACAAUGUUCUCAAGGUACUCAUUGACUUACUAUGCACUAGAAGAUAACAAAUAGCAUGCAUAACAAUAAUGAUGUUUUUUACUUUCAUUCUUCUUGUUGUCACAGUUCUCUUGUGCAUCAAGAAGCAGCCAAACAUUGUACAGGGGCAAGCAUGUCAAAUCUCUAGCUGUAUGUCAGGGCAAAGCUUACCUUGGUUGCACAGACUUGAGUAUACAGGUUAGUUUUGUGGUUACAAAAGCAUGUAAUAGUAUUUUGGAUCACUAUAUGUAAAGAAAAAGAUUGUCAACAGGAACUAGACAUGUCAGUUGAAUCCAAGAUUGAGAUAAGGGCACCUAAAAGAAGAUGGAGGAUUAGGAAACAAUCCAUUAGCGCCAUUGUUGUAUAUAAAGAUUUGUUGUAUUGUGCUGGUGCUCAAGUGGAAGGUUCAGCCUUAAAGGUAUUAAUCAAAAUAUUGAACUUGACCUCUGAAAGUUAUGAGAUGAAAAGAAAUGUGAAACUUUAAACUUUUUGCAGGACUGGAAGAAACGAUGCAAACCUAAUAUGACAAUGCCACUACCAAAGGGAACAAGUGUAGAGGCAAUGGCAGUGGUGGAAGACUUCAUCUACUUGAACUGCAGUAAAAGCCCUAGCAUCAUUCAGGUGACAUGAAUUUCCUUUUUUUUUCUAUAUCAGCUACAAUAAGUUAUGUAAAAAAAGGCAAAAAAAAUUCAGGUACUUGAGCACAAUGUACUGUUAGGAGAUCUCUAUCUGCUUACAAAUUUCAGGCUUUACUCUCUGAAAAUUGUUGGGCAGUCCAUCGUGAUCCUGUUCUAGGUACGAAAUGGAAGUAACAUUAGGUGAUUAGGUCUCACCAACAAGAACCAGAGGAACCAAAAAAUCCAUGUUCAGUGAAGACCGGCCUACCAUUUUAUAUCUGAUCAAAGUAUAGAAGCCAUACCUGUAAUACCUUGGAUAAAAAAAUACAGGAUUCGCCAGUCUUGAUU
RNAcentral lists this long non-coding RNA (2716 nucleotides) under Setaria italica (foxtail millet). RNAcentral's name for it is "long non-coding RNA (SITA_LNC002223)". The record is from RNAcentral. Lineage: Eukaryota; Viridiplantae; Streptophyta; Magnoliopsida; Poales; Poaceae.